AUGUUCUUUUAUUGGUAUCUAUGCAAACGAAUAGAUGAUAGUAGAUCAAGUGUCUUAAUAUCUGUAUUGCGACUAAUAUUUGAAGUUUUGCUUUUGUCGAAAAUCUCAAAGGUGUUGCAUGCAAGCUUUAGAAAAUGCAUUCAGAUUUCAGAGUUGAUCAAUCCAUUGAAGUGUAAGGUGUUGCAUGUGAGCUUUAGAAAAUGCAUUCAGAUUUCAGAGUUGAUCAAUCCAUUAAAGUGUAACUGCAGUUGGAGUGACCAUAUACACAUGCAACAUUGUAGUUUAGGACCUAGAAACAAUAGCCUGGCAAGUUCUUAUCCUAAUGUCAGCUCCUGUGUCUUGAGUAAGCGUUAG
This 354-nucleotide ribosomal RNA is filed under the name Triticum aestivum (bread wheat). Its description in RNAcentral is "partial small subunit ribosomal RNA". Lineage: Eukaryota; Viridiplantae; Streptophyta; Magnoliopsida; Poales; Poaceae. The record is from RNAcentral.